This 492-nucleotide ribosomal RNA is filed under the name uncultured bacterium. RNAcentral's name for it is "partial 16S ribosomal RNA". It matches the Rfam family "Bacterial small subunit ribosomal RNA", at positions 29 to 507 of the family's 1533-position model. The record is from RNAcentral.
AGUGAACGCUGGCGGUAGGCCUAACACAUGCAAGUCGAACGGCAGCACAGUAAGAGCUUGCUCUUACGGGUGGCGAGUGACGGACGGGUGAGGAAUACAUCGGAAUCUACUUUUUCGUGGGGGAUAACGUAGGGAAACUUACGCUAAUACCGCAUACGACCUACGGGUGAAAGCAGGGGAUCUUCGGACCUUGCGCGAUUGAAUGAGCCGAUGUCGGAUUAGCUAGUUGGCGGGGUAAAGGCCCACCAAGGCGACGAUCCGUAGCUGGUCUGAGAGGAUGAUCAGCCACACUGGAACUGAGACACGGUCCAGACUCCUACGGGAGGCAGCAGGGGGGAAUAUUGGACAAUGGGCGCAAGCCUGAUCCAGCCAUACCGCGUGGGUGAAGAAGGCCUUCGGGUUGUAAAGCCCUUUUGUUGGGAAAGAAAAGCAGCAGGUUAAUACCCCGCUGUUCUGACGGUACCCAAAGAAUAAGCACCGGCUAACUUCGUG